CCUACGGGGGGCAGCAGUGGGGAAUAUUGCACAAUGGGGGAAACCCUGAUGCAGCGACGCCGCGUGAGUGAAGAAGUACUUCGUUAUGUAAAGCCCUAUCAGCAGGGAAGAAAAUGACGGUACCUGAGUAAGAAGCCCCGGCUAACUACGUGCCAGCAGCCGCGGUAAUACGGAGGGGGCCAGCGUUAUACGGAUUUACUGGGGUUAAAGGGAGCGUAGACGGCAGUGAAAGUCUGGAGUGAAAGGCGGGGGCUCAACCCCCGGACUGCUCUGGAAACUGUAGGGCGUGAGUGCGGGAGAGGUAAGUGGAAUUCCUAGUGUAGCGGUGAAAUGCGGAGAUAUUAGGAGGAACACCAGUGGCGAAGGCGGCUUACUGGACUGUAACUGACGUUGAGGCUCGAAAGCGUGGGGAGCAAACAGGAUUAGAUACCCCUGUAGUC
This 440-nucleotide ribosomal RNA is filed under the name uncultured bacterium. RNAcentral describes it as "partial 16S ribosomal RNA". It matches the Rfam family "Bacterial small subunit ribosomal RNA", at positions 338 to 795 of the family's 1533-position model. The record is from RNAcentral.